CUUUUACAUACGUUCAAAAUUUGAGGGAGUAAUUGGUGGUCUGACACCUACAUAACACUAGGAGAUAACUCUGUAAGAAACAGCUGAACAUUUUUAUACACAAUUUUUUUUAAACAUUUUCUCAUUGUUGAAGGACUUGUCUGUGAACUUGUAUAUGAAGAACAGCAAUAAAAUAAAAGGGUUUCUUUGUUGUAGACCAAGUAAAUUUGACAUUUCCCCUCUCUUAUUCUUCAAUUUUUCCUGCUUCUUAAUAACAGGGACAUUAGAAAGAACCAAUCGAGCAUAUCUUUAGUUUGGCUGCAUCAUUUUUCCAUGUGGACUGCUUCCCAAAAAUGAAACCAGAUAAUCUCCAGAAAACUUCAGCAUGACAUCUCAAAGUCCCCUUCUACAGGCAUAGGCAGUAAGCCUGUAGCUGUCGUAGGUCGCUAGCGAACAUCCCAGCCGCCCGUCCUCGCGAGUCUGCGACGUAGGCCAUCUCAACAUCCAUGACUGUCGUCCCAUUUGGAGGUAACCAGCUACUUCGAGGAAACGCCACAAACAGCAAAAUCACUUAAUCCUACUUACAUUGCCUAUAUUUCUUCAAGUCUUUCACUUUGGGCUGCUUCUUCUGUCCUCUUUGGUAGAAUUGGAAAUAAAAGAAAGUCAUUAUUAUUCAGAUUAAUAUACACAAAUCAAAACAUUUUUAAGCACAAUUUUUUUUAAACAUUUUCUCAUUGUUAAAGGACUUGUCUGUGAACUUGUAUAUGAUGAACAGCAAUCAAGUAAAAGGGUUUCUUUGUUGUAGACCAAGUAAAUUUGACAUUUUCCCUCUCUUAUUCUUCAAUUUUUCCUGCUUCUUAAUAACAGGGACAUUAGAAAGAACCAAUCGAGCAUAUCUUUAGUUUGGCUGCAUCAUUUUUCCAUGUGGACUGCUUCCCAAAAAUGAAACCAGAUAAUCUCCAGAAAACUUCAGCAUGACAUCUCAAAGUCCCCUUCUACAGGCAUAGGCAGAAAGCCUGUAGCUGUCGUAGGUCGCUAGCGAACAUCCCAGCCGCCCGUCCUCGCGAGUCUGCGACGUAGGCCAUCUCAACAUCCAUGACUGUCGUCCCAUUUGGAGGUAACCAGCUACUUCGAGGAAACGCCACAAACAGCAAAAUCACUUAAUCCUACUUACAUUGCCUAUAUUUCUUCA
RNAcentral lists this long non-coding RNA (1171 nucleotides) under Mytilus galloprovincialis (Mediterranean mussel). Lineage: Eukaryota; Metazoa; Mollusca; Bivalvia; Mytilida; Mytilidae. The record is from RNAcentral.